GGGCCCGCACAAGCGGUGGAGCAUGUGGUUUAAUUCGACGCAACGCGAAGAACCUUACCUGGUCUUGACAUCCUGCGAACUUUCUAGAGAUAGAUUGGUGCCUUCGGGAACGCAGUGACAGGUGCUGCAUGGCUGUCGUCAGCUCGUGUCGUGAGAUGUUGGGUUAAGUCCCGUAACGAGCGCAACCCUUGUCCUUAUUUGCCAUCAUUUAGUUGGGCACUCUAGGGAGACUGCCGGUGACAAACCGGAGGAAGUGGGGGACGACGUCAAGUCAUCAUGGCCCUUACGACCAGGGCUACACACGUGCUACAAUGGGGCGUACAAAGGGUUGCAAUCCCGCGAGGGGGAGCU
This 351-nucleotide ribosomal RNA is filed under the name uncultured bacterium. RNAcentral describes it as "bacterial SSU rRNA". It matches the Rfam family "Bacterial small subunit ribosomal RNA", at positions 917 to 1269 of the family's 1533-position model. The record is from RNAcentral.